UGGGGAAUAUUGGACAAUGGGGGGAACCCUGAUCCAGCCAUGCCGCGUGUGUGAAGAAGGCCUUUUGGUUGUAAAGCACUUUAAGCGAGGAGGAGGCUCCCUAGACUAAUACUCUAGGAGAGUGGACGUUACUCGCAGAAUAAGCACCGGCUAACUCUGUGCCAGCAGCCGCGGUAAUACAGAGGGUGCAAGCGUUAAUCGGAUUUACUGGGCGUAAAGGGUACGUAGGUGGUCUUUUAAGUCGGAUGUGAAAUCCCUGAGCUUAACUUAGGAAUUGCAUUCGAUACUGAGAGACUAGAGUAUGGGAGAGGAUGGUAGAAUUCCAGGUGUAGCGGUGAAAUGCGUAGAGAUCUGGAGGAAUACCGAUGGCGAAGGCAGCCAUCUGGCCUAAUACUGACACUGAGGUACGAAAGCAUGGGGAGCAAACA
This 428-nucleotide ribosomal RNA is filed under the name Microvirga ossetica. RNAcentral describes it as "partial 16S ribosomal RNA". It matches the Rfam family "Bacterial small subunit ribosomal RNA", at positions 355 to 774 of the family's 1533-position model. Lineage: Bacteria; Pseudomonadati; Pseudomonadota; Alphaproteobacteria; Hyphomicrobiales; Methylobacteriaceae. The record is from RNAcentral. RNAcentral also lists the same sequence under 1 other name.